UACGUAGGGGGCAAGCGUUAUUCGGAAUUAUUGGGCGUAAAGGGCGCGUAGGCGGCUAGAUGUGUCAAAGGUGAAAUCCCUCGGCUCAACUGAGAAACUGCCUUUGAAACUGUCUGGCUUGAGGCCGGGAGAGGGUAGCGGAAUUCCCAGUGUAGCGGUGAAAUGCGUAGAUAUUGGGAGGAACACCAGUGGCGAAGGCGGCUACCUGGACCGGUUCUGACGCUGAGGCGCGAAAGCGUGGGUAGCAAACAGG
This 253-nucleotide ribosomal RNA is filed under the name uncultured bacterium. RNAcentral describes it as "partial 16S ribosomal RNA". It matches the Rfam family "Bacterial small subunit ribosomal RNA", at positions 524 to 776 of the family's 1533-position model. The record is from RNAcentral.